AUUAGCUAGUUGGUGGGGUAACGGCUCACCUAGGCGACGAUCCCUAGCUGGUCUGAGAGGAUGACCAGCCACACUGGAACUGAGACACGGUCCAGACUCCUACGGGAGGCAGCAGUGGGGAAUAUUGCACAAUGGGCGCAAGCCUGAUGCAGCCAUGCCGCGUGUAUGAAGAAGGCCUUCGGGUUGUAAAGUACUUUCAGCGGGGAGGAAGGGAGUAAAGUUAAUACCUUUGCUCAUUGACGUUACCCGCAGAAGAAGCACCGGCUAACUCCGUGCCAGCAGCCGCGGUAAUACGGAGGGUGCAAGCGUUAAUCGGAAUUACUGGGCGUAAAGCGCACGCAGGCGGUUUGUUAAGUCAGAUGUGAAAUCCCCGGGCUCAACCUGGGAACUGCAUCUGAUACUGGCAAGCUUGAGUCUCGUAGAGGGGGGUAGAAUUCCAUGUGUAGCGGUGAAAUGCGUAGA
Molecule: ribosomal RNA, 462 nt
Filed under: uncultured bacterium
Lineage: Bacteria
Description: bacterial SSU rRNA
Rfam family: Bacterial small subunit ribosomal RNA
Source: RNAcentral